GACGAACCGUGCGAACGUUAUUCGGAAUCACUGGGCUUAAAGCGCGCGUAGGCGGCCCGGCGCAUCCGACGCUGAAAUCCCCCGGCUCAACCGGGGAAGCGGCGCGGAGAUGGCCGGGCUGGAGCGAGGUAGGGGGAGCCGGAACGUCCGGUGGAGCGGUGAAAUGCGUUGAGAUCGGACGGAACGCCCGUGGCGAAAGCGGGCUCCUGGACCUCCGCUGACGCUGAGGCGCGAAAGCCAGGGGAGCGAACGGG
This 254-nucleotide ribosomal RNA is filed under the name uncultured bacterium. RNAcentral's name for it is "partial 16S ribosomal RNA". It matches the Rfam family "Bacterial small subunit ribosomal RNA", at positions 524 to 776 of the family's 1533-position model. The record is from RNAcentral. RNAcentral also lists the same sequence under 1 other name.